This 459-nucleotide ribosomal RNA is filed under the name uncultured bacterium. Its description in RNAcentral is "partial 16S ribosomal RNA". It matches the Rfam family "Bacterial small subunit ribosomal RNA", at positions 338 to 795 of the family's 1533-position model. The record is from RNAcentral.
CCUACGGGGCGCAGCAGUGAGGAAUAUUGGUCAAUGGGCGGGAGCCUGAACCAGCCAAGCCGCGUGAGGGAAGAAGGUACAGCGUAUCGUAAACCUCUUUUGUCAGGGAACAAAGGCGGGGACUAGUCCCCGGAUGAGGGUACCUGAAGAAAAAGCAUCGGCUAACUCCGUGCCAGCAGCCGCGGUAAUACGGAGGAUGCGAGCGUUAUCCGGAUUUAGUGGGGUGAAAGGGUGCGCAGGCGGCAUGUUAAGUCAGCGGUAAAAGCCCGGGGCUCAACCCCGGCCCGCCGUUGAAACUGGCAGUCUCGAGUUGGAGAGAAGUAUGCGGAAUGCGCGGUGUAGCGGUGAAAUGCAUAGAUAUCGCGCAGAACUCCGAUUGCGAAGGCAGCAUGCCGGCUCCACACUGACGCUGAGGCACGAAAGCGUGGGUAUCGAACAGGAUUAGAUACCCCUGUAGUC